Molecule: ribosomal RNA, 495 nt
Filed under: uncultured bacterium
Lineage: Bacteria
Description: partial 16S ribosomal RNA
Rfam family: Bacterial small subunit ribosomal RNA
Source: RNAcentral
AACGAACGCUGGCGGCAUGCCUAACACAUGCAAGUCGAACGCUGAAGGAGGAGCUUGCUCUUCUGGAUGAGUUGCGAACGGGUGAGUAACGCGUAGGUAACCUGCCUGGUAGCGGGGGAUAACUAUUGGAAACGAUAGCUAAUACCGCAUAACAGUAGAUGUUGCAUGACAUUUACUUAAAAGGUGCAAUUGCAUCACUACCAGAUGGACCUGCGUUGUAUUAGCUAGUUGGUGGGGUAACGGCUCACCAAGGCGACGAUACAUAGCCGACCUGUGAGGGUGAUCGGCCACACUGGGACUGAGACACGGCCCAGACUCCUACGGGAGGCAGCAGUAGGGAAUCUUCGGCAAUGGACGGAAGUCUGACCGAGCAACGCCGCGUGAGUGAAGAAGGUUUUCGGAUCGUAAAGCUCUGUUGUAAGAGAAGAACGAGUGUGAGAGUGGAAAGUUCACACUGUGACGGUAUCUUACCAGAAAGGGACGGCUAACUACGUG